AAAUUGAAGAGUUUGAUCAUGGCUCAGAUUGAACGCUGGCGGCAGGCCUAACACAUGCAAGUCGAGCGGUAGCACAGAGAGCUUGCUCUCGGGUGACGAGCGGCGGACGGGUGAGUAAUGUCUGGGAAACUGCCUGAUGGAGGGGGAUAACUACUGGAAACGGUAGCUAAUACCGCAUAAUGUCGCAAGACCAAAGUGGGGGACCUUCGGGCCUCAUGCCAUCAGAUGUGCCCAGAU
RNAcentral lists this ribosomal RNA (237 nucleotides) under Pseudomonas aeruginosa. Its description in RNAcentral is "partial 16S ribosomal RNA". It matches the Rfam family "Bacterial small subunit ribosomal RNA", at positions 1 to 236 of the family's 1533-position model. RNAcentral also lists the same sequence under 3 other names. The record is from RNAcentral. Lineage: Bacteria; Pseudomonadati; Pseudomonadota; Gammaproteobacteria; Pseudomonadales; Pseudomonadaceae.